Acanthosepion pharaonis is the source of this 112-nucleotide non-coding RNA. NCBI's taxonomy places the organism in Eukaryota, Metazoa, Mollusca, Cephalopoda, Sepiida, Sepiidae. The record is from the annotation of a GenBank genome assembly.
UACGGCUACAUCACUUUGAAACAUUGGUUCCCGUACGAUCACUGAAUUUAAGCAACGUCGAUCCUGGUCAGUACGAGAUGGGUGACCGCUUUGGAAUACCAGGUGCUGUCAG